Molecule: ribosomal RNA, 405 nt
Filed under: uncultured bacterium
Lineage: Bacteria
Description: partial 16S ribosomal RNA
Rfam family: Bacterial small subunit ribosomal RNA
Source: RNAcentral
AUUGAACGCUAGCGGGAGGCUUUACACAUGCAAGUCGAGCGAGUGGCGGACGGGUGAGUAAUGUAUGGGAACGUGCCCAGUAGCGGGGGAUAACUACUGGAAACGGUGGCUAAUACCGCAUACUAUCGGAUCAACCCAUAUGGGAUUAGCUAGUUGGUGGGGUAAAGGCUCACCAAGGCGACGAUCCGUAGCUGGUUUGAGAGGAGGACCAGCCACACUGGGACUGAGACACGGCCCAGACUCCUACGGGAGGCAGCAGUGGGGAAUUUUGGACAAUGGGCGAAAGCCUGAUGCAGCCAUCCCGCGUGUAUGAGAAGGCCUUCGGGUUGUAAAGUACUUUUGGCAGAGAAGCGGUACCCGCAGAAUAAGCACCGGCUAACUACGUGCCAGCAGCCGCGGUAAUAC